ACGGCAUUGGCAGUGACCUUAAUAGAGAACAGUCAACUCAUUAAGGCACUUCCAAGCCGUAC
Molecule: microRNA precursor, 62 nt
Filed under: Caenorhabditis briggsae
Lineage: Eukaryota; Metazoa; Nematoda; Chromadorea; Rhabditida; Rhabditidae
Description: microRNA cbr-mir-124c precursor
Gene: cbr-mir-124c
Source: miRBase by way of RNAcentral